Phrynosoma platyrhinos (Desert horned lizard) is the source of this 72-nucleotide non-coding RNA. The record is from the annotation of a GenBank genome assembly. Lineage: Eukaryota; Metazoa; Chordata; Lepidosauria; Squamata; Phrynosomatidae.
GCCAGAGUGGUAUAGUGGUUUGAAUGCUGGUCUAGGACACUGGAGACCAGGAUUCAAAUCUUUGCUCAGCCA